UACGGAGGGGGCAAGCGUUAUCCGGAAUUACUGGGCGUAAAGGGCGCGUAGGCGGCCUGCUAAGUCGAACGUGAAAUCCCUGGGCUCAACCCAGGAACUGCGUCCGAUACUGGUUGGCUUGAAUCCGGGAGAGGGAUGUGGAAUUCCAGGUGUAGCGGUGAAAUGCGUAGAUAUCUGGAGGAACACCUGAGGGGAAGGCGGGUUGCUAGGCUGACACUGACGCUGAGUGCGCGAAAGCCAGGGGAGCAAACGGG
This 254-nucleotide ribosomal RNA is filed under the name uncultured bacterium. RNAcentral's name for it is "partial 16S ribosomal RNA". It matches the Rfam family "Bacterial small subunit ribosomal RNA", at positions 524 to 776 of the family's 1533-position model. The record is from RNAcentral.